GAGGCUUUAGCUUAAUUAAAGCGUCUGUUUUGCAUGCAGAAGAUGUGGGUUAAAUCCCUGUAAGUUUCA
This 69-nucleotide transfer RNA is filed under the name Anablepsoides urophthalmus. Its description in RNAcentral is "tRNA-Ala". It matches the Rfam family "tRNA". Rfam says of the family: Transfer RNA (tRNA) molecules are approximately 80 nucleotides in length. The record is from RNAcentral. Lineage: Eukaryota; Metazoa; Chordata; Actinopteri; Cyprinodontiformes; Rivulidae.